GCCGAGCUCUGUAGCGAGAGCUUGUAACCCGAGCGGGGGUAUAGGUGGCCGAACUUUGAUUUGACUCCGACAGGCGGGGUCAGGUGGAGUAAUUUGCCGGCCAAGUAGAGAGUUGAGCCACGGAACUUAAGCGAAAGCUUGGGCUUCAUGGUUCUUAGAGAAGAGGACACCGCGUCAGGCUGGUUUCACAGAGCAGCGACUACCUCCCGCUCUCGUCGGUGGAAGGAUAACGAGUCGGUAUUCACCUCACCCACUAUUGCCCAACGAGUCGAGUCCAAUCGGACGACCACCUUU
Molecule: signal recognition particle RNA, 294 nt
Filed under: Nelumbo nucifera (sacred lotus)
Lineage: Eukaryota; Viridiplantae; Streptophyta; Magnoliopsida; Proteales; Nelumbonaceae
Description: Plant signal recognition particle RNA
Rfam family: Plant signal recognition particle RNA
Source: Rfam by way of RNAcentral